UACGUAGGGUGCGAGCGUUGUUCGGAGUUACUGGGCGUAAAGGGUGCGUAGGCGGCUUUUUAAGUUUGGUGUGAAAUCUCCCGGCUCAACUGGGAGGGUGCGCCGAAUACUGAGAGGCUAGAGUGUGGGAGAGGAAAGUGGAAUUCCUGGUGUAGCGGUGAAAUGCGUAGAUAUCAGGAGGAACACCGGUGGUGUAAACGGCUUUCUGGACCAUAACUGACGCUGAGGCACGAAAGCGUGGGUAGCAAACAGG
Molecule: ribosomal RNA, 253 nt
Filed under: uncultured bacterium
Lineage: Bacteria
Description: partial 16S ribosomal RNA
Rfam family: Bacterial small subunit ribosomal RNA
Source: RNAcentral